UUCUUUUUCUUCUCAGUCGGUUAGAGCAUGGUGCUGAUAACACCAAGGUUGAGGGUUCGAUUCCCGUAUGGGACA
Podarcis lilfordi (Lilford's wall lizard) is the source of this 75-nucleotide non-coding RNA. NCBI's taxonomy places the organism in Eukaryota, Metazoa, Chordata, Lepidosauria, Squamata, Lacertidae. The record is from the annotation of a GenBank genome assembly.